AGCCACUGCUAUGGGAGUCCGACUAAGCCAUGCGAGUCCAGGGGGGCUUUGCCCACCGGCGGACGGCUCAGUAACACGUGGACAACCUGCCCUCGGGAGGGGGAUAACCCUGGGAAACUGGGGCUAAACCCCCAUAGGCCAUGGGUGCUGGAAGGCCCUGUGGCUGAAAUUCCUUCGGGAGCCCGAGGAUGGGUCUGCGGCCUAUCAGGUCGUAGUGGGGGUAACGGCCCCACUAGCCUACGACGGGUACGGGCCUUGGGAGAGGGAGCCCGGAGAUGGACUCUGAGACACGAGUCCAGGCCCUACGGGGCGCAGCAGGCGCGAAACCUCCGCAAUGCGCGAAAGCGCGACGGGGGGACUCCCAGUGCCUACGCUCAGCGUAGGCUGUUCCCGAGCCUAAAAAGCUCGGGGAGUAAGGGCUGGGUAAGACGGGUGCCAUCUGUGACGGCAGUUACAGAUUUGACUUGCCGUCGCAAGGCAUAAGCCGCCGCGGUAAUACCCGCAGCCCGAGUGGUGGCCGCUAUUAUUGGGCCUAAAGCGUCCGUAGCCGGCCCGGUAAAUGCCUGGGUAAAUCGUCUGGCCCAACCAGACGAAUUCCGGGUAGACUGCCGGGCUAGGGACCGGAGGAGGGAGAGGGUACUCCAGGGGUAGGGGUGAAAUCAGCAAGGUGAGUUGCUGAUGUAACUUGCCUUGCAAGUCACAAUCCUGUAAUCCCUGGAGGACCACCGGUGGCGAAGGCGCUCUCCUAGGACGGGUCCGACGGUGAGGGACGAAAGCCAGGGGAGCAAACCGGAUUAGAUACCCGGGUAGUCCUGGCCGUAAACGAUGUGGGCUUGGUAUUGGGAUGGCUACGAGCCGUUCCAGUGCCGUAGGGAAGCCGUUAAGCCCACCGCCUGGGGAGUACGGUCGCAAGGCUGAAACUUAAAGGAAUUGGCGGGGGAGCACUGCAACGGGAGGAGCGUGCGGUUUAAUUGGAUUCAACGCCGGGAAGCUCACCGGGGGAGACUGCCGUAUGUGGGCCAGGCUGAAGACCUUGCCCGAACAAAAGGCAGAGAGGUGGUGCAUGGCCGCCGUCAGCUCGUACCGUAGGGCGUUCUGUUAAGUCAGGUAACGAGCGAGACCCCCGCCCCUAGUUGCGACUUGUCUCUCCGGAGGCAAGGCACACUAGGG
This 1170-nucleotide ribosomal RNA is filed under the name uncultured archaeon. RNAcentral describes it as "partial 16S rRNA". It matches the Rfam family "Archaeal small subunit ribosomal RNA", at positions 21 to 1101 of the family's 1478-position model. The record is from RNAcentral.